Molecule: long non-coding RNA, 652 nt
Filed under: Felis catus (domestic cat)
Lineage: Eukaryota; Metazoa; Chordata; Mammalia; Carnivora; Felidae
Description: lncRNA (ENSFCAG00000040865.2)
Source: RNAcentral
GAAAUGACUCGUGUGUGUGUGUGUGCACGUGUGAGCUUGGAGGUCCGGUGAGGAUCGCAACAGCGGCCACGAAGGAUCAGAAUGGCACUAGUGAGUGGCUGAAAAAGCUCCCCUGAGGAAAAGGACCCCUUCAGCACAGCAGCAGUUUUCUUAGGAAGCUGUUCCUUCCAAAAUGCAUUCUGGUGCCCUAGCCACGAAGGGACGUUUCCCAGGGCGGCAGAAGACUGUGGAUGGUUCUGGAGGCUCCAGUUACACUGAAACCCUGGAGGAGGACACCUCGUGGAAGUACAAAAGACACAGGAGACUGCUUCCCUGGCCAACUCCAACAGUAGGAGUCUAUCUCUCAACUCAGCCGGCCUCUGCGUUGGAUCUCUUUGUCUCGAAGAUUUGCAACUCUUUUCUGGCAACCUCAGAAUGGUGUGGCCACGGUGGAGUCUCGUUCCAUCUGUGUUCUCUUCAACUAAUGAAAAACUAUGGAGGUCUCAUUAGUAAGUAACGCAUGUAAUGCCCGUUGAUGUCAAUGGUGGUUGGCGGGUAGAGUUUGUGUGGGAGCACGGCCUUUAUGCCUUUGGCGGUCCCACAGGGCGCCUAUGUUCUUGUUUCUGCCUCACUUUCAGACACCUGCCUUCCCUCAACACCAACAUUAGGUUUG